RNAcentral lists this unclassified non-coding RNA (280 nucleotides) under Melitaea cinxia (Glanville fritillary). RNAcentral's name for it is "misc RNA ENSMCXG00005018838.1". The record is from RNAcentral. Lineage: Eukaryota; Metazoa; Arthropoda; Insecta; Lepidoptera; Nymphalidae.
UUUUUUAUCAAACAUUUUUCUAGCGAUCAGUCAUUUUGCGAAAACAUUUUUUAUCAACGAGAUCGAAUUACAGCUGACAUUAGCUUCUUCAAACAAUGUUAGACUAUGUCGACAUGCUCUUCAAAUGUAGGGAACAAUUUCUUAUGUACUGGUAUUAAUGUACGAGUAGUGAUUUUUUUUUUCUACCAGCCAUGCACCAGACCAUAGCCAUGUACCAGAUUUUGGUAAGGUUCUUACGCCUAUAAUAGCCGUCCUCGAUAAAAUUGACUAUCCAACACAA